Adelges cooleyi (spruce gall adelgid) is the source of this 950-nucleotide long non-coding RNA. RefSeq lists it as uncharacterized. NCBI's taxonomy places the organism in Eukaryota, Metazoa, Arthropoda, Insecta, Hemiptera, Adelgidae. The record is from RefSeq and is a predicted model, not a curated record. The transcript is spliced from 2 exons.
AUAAAACAUUGUGAUUUAAGUUAAUUACUUGCUAUUUACAAUUGAAACAAGAAAUCAUAAAUAAAUGUGAUAUAUCUAUUACUAUAGUAAUACUAUUUAUAUAUAUAUAUAUUAAUUAGGUAAGAUUUUCUAAGAGAAGAAACGUAUAAUAAAAAAUAAUAAAAAUAAUUUUGUGUUGCACGAUCAUUACUUAUUACAGUUAAACCAUACUAGUAAGUUAUUUGUAUUAUUUUUAAAACGUUAUAUUAUGUAUCUUAUUAUUAUCGUUUAAUAUUUUGUCAAUCUUAAAUAAAAAUUGUUUAAGAUUGACAAAAUAUGAGUUGUCAAAUUGAUAUUCAAAAAUUUGCGCGCUUUCUUAAGCCUGGUAGCGCUUGAUCGUACAGUGGGGAAUCCCGGCGUAUCAACAUUAUUAUCAGUUGACUGUUAUCAUAAAUUCAAUUUUCACAUUUUCGUUUUUCAAACAUUUGAAUAGUUUUCAAUUUUCAUUUAAUCAGUGAAAAUCUUUUUUAUUUUACUAAUUGUAAUCGUUUUUGUUAAAAAAUCCUAUUAUUCAACUAUUAUCGAGAACUGCAAAAGCAUGACUUCCGUUGCGAAAACACUUUGGCCUUUGAAUACGCCAGGAGGGUAUCAUCAAAUAUCAGCCAUCGGUUGUAAGCUAUAUUUUGUUGCCCAAAUUUUACUAGUACAAUUAUUACGAAACUGUGUUAAAAUUUAAAAAAAUUGUUUUUAGUCGGCACUUACACAAUCAGCGAGAGGGCUAACGUUUUAUUAUGUAUCUUAUUAUUAUCGUGUAAUAUUUUUUAUAAACUAAAAUAUUUAUUUUAUUUAAAAAAAAUAUAAUAUUAUUGAACAACUUUAAUUCAAACGUUUAUUUUAAACAGUUACAAUUAUAUUUGAUUAAAUUAUAAAAUUAUAAUUCUUUGGUUGAAUUAAAAACUAUUUAUAUACGA